This 472-nucleotide ribosomal RNA is filed under the name uncultured bacterium. Its description in RNAcentral is "partial 16S ribosomal RNA". It matches the Rfam family "Bacterial small subunit ribosomal RNA", at positions 28 to 507 of the family's 1533-position model. The record is from RNAcentral.
GACGAACGCUGGCGGCAGGCCUAACACAUGCAAGUCGAACGCUGAAGCUUGGGGCUUGGACUGGGUGGUGGAGUGGGGAAGGGGUGAGUAAUAUGUAUGUAACCUGGCCUUGACUCGGGGAUAAGCCUGGGGAACUGGGUCUUAUUCUGGAUACGACAUGCCGGUGCAUGGUGGUGGGUGGAAAGGGUUUUACUGGUUUUGGAUGGGCUCACGGCCUAUCAGCUUGUUGGUGGGGUAAUGGCCUACCAAGGCGACGACGGGUAGCCGGCCUGAGAGGGUGACCGGCCACACUGGGACUGAGACACGGCCCAGACUCCUACGGGAGGCAGCAGUGGGGAAUAUUGCACAAUGGGCGGAAGCCUGAUGCAGCGACGCCGCGUGAGGGAUGACGGCCUUCGGGUUGUAAACCUCUUUCAGCACGGAAGAAGCGAGAGUGACGGUACGUGCAGAAGAAGCGCCGGCUAACUACGUG